RNAcentral lists this ribosomal RNA (462 nucleotides) under uncultured bacterium. Its description in RNAcentral is "partial 16S ribosomal RNA". It matches the Rfam family "Bacterial small subunit ribosomal RNA", at positions 338 to 795 of the family's 1533-position model. The record is from RNAcentral.
CCUACGGGUGGCAGCAGUGAGGAAUAUUGGUCAAUGGACGAGAGUCUGAACCAGCCAAGUAGCGUGAAGGAUGACUGCCCUAUGGGUUGUAAACUUCUUUUAUAUGGGAAUAAAAUGGUCCACGUGUGGGAUUAUGUAUGUAACAUAUGAAUAAGGAUCGGCUAACUACGGGCCAGCAGCCGCGGUCAUACGUAGGAUACGAGCAUUAUCCGGAGUGACUGGGUGUAAAGAGUUGCGUAGGGGGCAUAAGAAGUAGCUAGUGAAAUCUGGUGGCUCAACCAUUCAGACUACUAGCUAAACUGUUAAGCUCGAGACCGUUAGGGGUAACUGGAAUUGCUAGUGUAGGAGUGAAAUCCGUAGAUAUUAGAAGGAACACCAAUAGCGUAGGCAGGUUACUGGGACGGUUCUGACACUAAGGCACGAAAGCGUAGGGAGCAAACGGGAUUAGAUACCCUGGUAGUC